UACGAAGGGGGCUAGCGUUGUUCGGAAUUACUGGGCGUAAAGCGCACGUAGGCGGACUACUAAGUCAGGGGUGAAAUCCCGGGGCUCAACCCCGGAACUGCCUUUGAUACUGAUAGUCUCGAGUCCGGAAGAGGUGAGUGGAAUUCCGAGUGUAGAGGUGAAAUUCGUAGAUAUUCGGAGGAACACCAGUGGCGAAGGCGGCUCACUGGUCCGGUACUGACGCUGAGACGCGAAAGCGUGGGGAGCAAACAGG
Molecule: ribosomal RNA, 253 nt
Filed under: uncultured bacterium
Lineage: Bacteria
Description: partial 16S ribosomal RNA
Rfam family: Bacterial small subunit ribosomal RNA
Source: RNAcentral